Non-coding RNA from Chelonoidis abingdonii (Abingdon island giant tortoise), 2000 nucleotides. The record is from RefSeq and is a predicted model, not a curated record. NCBI's taxonomy places the organism in Eukaryota, Metazoa, Chordata, Testudines, Testudinidae.
AGAUGGAAAAAGAAAGUUUUAGUAAAGUUUAGAGAAAAAAGGAAAGAAAGGUUUUUGGAUGUGAUUGAGUAAGAAGAGAGGCUGGUAAAGGAAGGUUAUUCAAGCAUAGAAAGAUAGAACUUAAAGAAAAAUGGAAAUAUUUGUUUUUAAAGGGUUAGUUUAAGAAAAGAGUCAAAUAAUAUUGAAAACUAGGUUUAAAAGGGGAAAGGCAAAACCUGAUUGGUAAGCACAUAGUAAAAAAGUGAAUAUAAAUGCAUUUAAACUAUUGAAUACCAGUGUAGGGUAAGAGAAAAGCUUUUAAUAUUAUUAAAUAAUAUUAAAAACAAUAAAAAUAGGUUUGAAGUGGGAAUUUACUAAAGCAAAACCUGUUUAGUAAGCACAUGGCCAAAAACUAUAAAGGGGUACUAAGAAAAAAGCAUUUAAAAUGAUUAAAAACUAGGUUUAAAAAGAGAAUUUACAAAGGCAGAGCCUGUUUGGUAAGCACAGGGUAAAAAAGUGAAUAAAAAAGCAUUGAAACUAUUCAAUACCAGUGUAGGUUAAGCAAAAAGAGAGCGGUUAAAAGAAAGAACAGGACAAGAAAAAAGUGCAAAGAGCAAAGAUAGAGAGCACAUGGUGGAAUCAGAAUGAGAGAGAGAGAGAGAGAAGCAGGCAGAGUCUGUUUAGUAAGCACAGGGUAAAAAAGGUAAUAGAAAAGCAUUCAGAAUCAGGGUAGGUUACAAGAAUGAACAAGAAAAGAAAAGGGAAAAGAGAGCCCCUUUGCAAAGGGCAAAGAUAGACAGCACAUGGUUGAGUCAGAGAGAAAGAGAGAGAAAAUGAGAGAGAGAGAGAGAGAAUUCUCACCGUUUACGUCUUUCUGUAGAAUGAGGCAACUUUUCUGAUUCAGAUCCUCUCAGACUUGUUAUCACCGCCUUUGGAUCAGCCGAAUCAGAGGUGGUUAUACAUCAGCGUCAUAGAAUUCAUUUUCCUGAACCAAUCCUAGAGUUCCAAGAUUUUAAACAAGAGCCAACUCCCUCCUUUCCCCCCUCCCCUCCCUUUUAACUGUUUUAUUCUUAUCUAAAGAAACAGACCCCCCAGCAUUUUCCCGCCAUGUAGCCCUUUUACAGAGGGGUUUUUAUAAAAUAAAAACAAUGUGAAGCUGCAGCAAAGCUCCUGUUAGCAAAGCAGCCUCUGUGAGUCAGUGGAUCACAGAGAAGGAGUUUGCUUCUUUACCUGCUUUUUAACAAACACAGGCUAAAGUUACAUUAAGUUUUGCAAAGGGAUAAUGACUUAAAAAGACAAACCUAAGACACAUCCCUUUUAUAUUUGUGUUGUAAUAAAAAAGAGCAGGCAGAAGCACCCCAGGUUUUUAGUAACAGACAGUUUAUAAACCGCUUAUUUUGUAAACCACUGAAUUAGAGAGAAGAAUAUUGCUUCUUCCCUCACUUUUUAACAAAGAGAAGUGAAGUCUUGUAAAGGUAUAAACACUUGAAAAGACAUGCCUAAAUGAAGACACAUUUUUUAUUUAACCCCCUUGGCAUAAGUGUUUCAAUGAAGAAGAGCAGGCAGAGGGAUUUUUAUAAAAGUUAAAACCAUAAGCUUUUAGUAACCAACAAUUUUUAAAAGUUUUUCGCUAGGUUUUAAACUAAUGGGUUAUUUUUUUAGUAAAAACAAUGUGAAGGUGCAGCAAAGCGCCUGUUAGCAAAGCAGCCUCUGUGAGUCAGUGGAUCAUAGAUAAGAAGGCUGCUUCUUUCCCAAACUUUUUAACAAACACAAGUUAAAAUUACAUUAAGUUUUGCAAAGGGAUAAUGACUCGAAAAGACAAACCUAAGACACAACCCUUUUGUAUGUGUUGUAAUAAAAAAUUAUGCAGAAGCACCCUAGGUUUAAAACCCCAGGUUUUUAGUAACAGAGGGUUUAUAGUCCCCUUAUUUUGUAAACCAGUGGAUUAGAGAGAAGAAGAAGAUUGCUUCUUUCCCCACUUUUUAACAAAGAGAGGUGAAAGGCUUUUAAGGGAAUAAACA